GAGACUCUGUGCGCGUGCAUAUCAAUAAGCGGAGGAAAAGAAACUAACUAGGAUUCCCUCAGUAACGGCGAGUGAAGCGGGAAGAGCUCAAAUUUGAAAUCUUCAAGGUUCUACCUUGACGAGUUGUAGUUUAAAGAAGUGUUUUCUGUUGGAGUUUUGGUAAAAGUUCUUUGGAAUAGGACAUCAUAGAGGGUGAGAAUCCCGUAUUUGAUCAUUACUUUCCAACUGUGUGAUAUCACUUUCAAAGAGUCGGAUUGUUUGGGAAUGCAGUCCAAAAUGGGUGGUAAAUUUCAUCUAAAGCUAAAUAUUGGCGAGAGACCGAUAGCGAACAAGUACCGUGAGGGAAAGAUGAAUAGAACUUUGAAAGAGAGUUAAACAGUACGUGAAAUUGUCAAAAGGGAAGCGUUUGACACCAGUGUUGUUUAGUUGAAAAUCAAUUCAAUAAUUUUUGAUUUUGAGUAGUAUUGACUUCAUCAGCUUGCUGCUUUCUUUUCAGGAAAUUAUUGAAUGCACUUUUCAGUUAACUAGUCAACAUCAAUUUCUUUUGUUGUAAAAGGGUAAGAGGAAGGUGGCUUGACGCUUCGGCGUAAGUGUUUAUAGCCUUUUACCUCUGCAAUCGGAGAGAUUGAGGAUCUGCAGCGUAGACUCUUCGGGGUUAGAUACACUUUAUGCUAAGCUAUAGCCUUGUAUAGACAACUUGUUGACUAUGCUCAGUCAUGUAGCUUACUCGCUUGUGCUAUUUUACCUACGCUUAGGAUGUUGAACUCUAUCACACACAG
This 779-nucleotide ribosomal RNA is filed under the name uncultured Neocallimastigales. Its description in RNAcentral is "partial large subunit ribosomal RNA". It matches the Rfam family "Eukaryotic large subunit ribosomal RNA", at positions 23 to 625 of the family's 3401-position model. Lineage: Eukaryota; Fungi; Neocallimastigomycota; Neocallimastigomycetes; Neocallimastigales. The record is from RNAcentral.